This 868-nucleotide ribosomal RNA is filed under the name uncultured Comamonadaceae bacterium. RNAcentral's name for it is "bacterial SSU rRNA". It matches the Rfam family "Bacterial small subunit ribosomal RNA", at positions 1 to 870 of the family's 1533-position model. Lineage: Bacteria; Pseudomonadati; Pseudomonadota; Betaproteobacteria; Burkholderiales; Comamonadaceae. The record is from RNAcentral.
AUUAGAGUUUGAUCAUGGCUCAAUUGAACGCUGGCGGAAUGCUUUACACAUGCAAGUCGAACGGCAGCACGGGGGCAACCCUGGUGGCGAGUGGCGAACGGGUGAGUAAUACAUCGGAACGUGCCCAGUCGUGGGGGAUAACGUAGCGAAAGCUACGCUAAUACCGCAUACGAACUCUGGUUGAAAGCGGGGGAUCGCAAGACCUCGCGCGAUUGGAGCGGCCGAUGGCAGAUUAGGUAGUUGGUGGGGUAAAGGCUCACCAAGCCGACGAUCUGUAGCUGGUCUGAGAGGACGACCAGCCACACUGGGACUGAGACACGGCCCAGACUCCUACGGGAGGCAGCAGUGGGGAAUUUUGGACAAUGGGCGCAAGCCUGAUCCAGCCAUUCCGCGUGCAGGAUGAAGGCCCUCGGGUUGUAAACUGCUUUUGGACGGAACGAAAAGGCUCUCUCUAAUACAGGGGGCUCAUGACGGUACCGUCAGAAUAAGCACCGGCUAACUACGUGCCAGCAGCCGCGGUAAUACGUAGGGUGCAAGCGUUAAUCGGAAUUACUGGGCGUAAAGCGUGCGCAGGCGGUGAUGUAAGACAGGUGUGAAAUCCCCGGGCUUAACCUGGGAACUGCAUUUGUGACUGCAUCGCUGGAGUGCGGCAGAGGGGGAUGGAAUUCCGCGUGUAGCAGUGAAAUGCGUAGAUAUGCGGAGGAACACCGAUGGCGAAGGCAAUCCCCUGGGCCUGCACUGACGCUCAUGCACGAAAGCGUGGGGAGCAAACAGGAUUAGAUACCCUGGUAGUCCACGCCCUAAACGAUGUCAACUGGUUGUUGGGUCUUCACUGACUCAGUAACGAAGCUAACGCGUGAAGUUGACC